GAUGAACGCUGGCGGCGUGCCUAAUACAUGCCAGUCGAGCGAACGGACGAGAAGCUUGCUUCUCUGAUGUUAGCGGCGGACGGGUGAGUAACACGUGGAUAACCUACCUAUAAGACUGGGAUAACUUCGGGAAACCGGAGCUAAUACCGGAUGAUAUUUUGAACCGCAUGGUUCAAAAGUGAAAGACGGUCUUGCUGUCACUUAUAGAUGGAUCCGCGCUGCAUUAGCUAGUUGGUAAGGUAACGGCUUACCAAGGCAACGAUGCAUAGCCGACCUGAGAGGGUGAUCGACCACACUGGAACUGAGACACGGUCCAGACUCCUACGGGAGGCAGCAGUAGGGAAUCUUCCGCCAUGGGCGAAAGCCUGACGGAGCAACGCCGCGUGAGUGAUGAAGGUCUUCGGAUCGUAAAACUCUGUUAUUAGGGAAGAACAUAUGUGUAAGUAACUGUGCACAUCUUGACGGUACCUAAUCAGAAAGCCACGGCUAACUACGUG
Molecule: ribosomal RNA, 497 nt
Filed under: uncultured bacterium
Lineage: Bacteria
Description: partial 16S ribosomal RNA
Rfam family: Bacterial small subunit ribosomal RNA
Source: RNAcentral